UGGGGAAUUUUGGACAAUGGGGGAAACCCUGAUCCAGCCAUCUCGCGUGUGCGAUGAAGGCCCUCGGGUUGUAAAGCACUUUUGGCAGGAAAGAAACGUCAUGGGUUAAUACCCCGUGAAACUGACGGUACCUGCAGAAUAAGCACCGGCUAACUACGUGCCAGCAGCCGCGGUAAUACGUAGGGUGCAAGCGUUAAUCGGAAUUACUGGGCGUAAAGCGUGCGCAGGCGGUUCGGAAAGAAAGAUGUGAAAUCCCAGAGCUCAACUUUGGAACUGCAUUUUUAACUACCGGGCUAGAGUGUGUCAGAGGGAGGUGGAAUUCCGCGUGUAGCAGUGAAAUGCGUAGAUAUGCGGGGGAACACCGAUGGCGAAGGCAGCCUCCUGGGAUAACACUGACGCUCAUGCACGAAAGCGUGGGGAGCAAACAGG
This 429-nucleotide ribosomal RNA is filed under the name Acidobacteriota bacterium. RNAcentral's name for it is "Acidobacteria bacterium partial 16S ribosomal RNA". It matches the Rfam family "Bacterial small subunit ribosomal RNA", at positions 355 to 776 of the family's 1533-position model. Lineage: Bacteria; Pseudomonadati; Acidobacteriota. The record is from RNAcentral.